Molecule: ribosomal RNA, 579 nt
Filed under: Triticum aestivum (bread wheat)
Lineage: Eukaryota; Viridiplantae; Streptophyta; Magnoliopsida; Poales; Poaceae
Description: partial small subunit ribosomal RNA
Source: RNAcentral
ACGAAAUACUUCAUGAUUAAGGCUAGCGGUAGGAAGCGUAGGAGUAAAAUUUUCAGAUUCAUACAGGAUGAGGGGAUCAUCCAAGGGGAUGAGCAGCUCCUUAAAUAUGCGACUGAUUUUUAUAAGAAGCUCUUUGGGCCUGUUGAAUUACUUCCCGUCUCCUUAAACAUUCCUCUAACUGAUAUGCUUUCCGAUGUGGACAAAAGUAAGUUGGCUAGUAAAUUUACUUUGGAUGAGAUAAAAACGGCUGUUUUUUCUAUGAGGCAUAAUAGAGCAGCCGGUCCCGAUGGUAUGCAUAUUGAAUUCUUCCAAACCUUUUGGCACCUCAUUUGCAAUGAUUUGUUGAGUCUCUUUCAAGAUUUUUAUGAUGAUAUGAUUGAUAUUUCUAGGCUAAACUAUGGGGUAGUUACAUUGUUAGCUAAGGGUCAAGGGGCGGAUAGGAUUCAGAUGUAUAGACCUAUAUGCAUGCUCAAUGUCCCGUUUAAAAUCUUUACCAAAGUCUUAAACAAUAGAGCUAUGACUACUGCUCACAAGACGAUUUCUAAGGUACAAUCUGCGUUUAUCAAAGGGCGUUAUAUU